CGGACGGGUGAGUAACACGUGGAUAACCUACCUAUAAGACUGGGAUAACUUCGGGAAACCGGAGCUAAUACCGGAUAACAUGUUGAACCGCAUGGUUCAACAGUGAAAGACGGUCUUGCUGUCACCUAUAGAUGGAUCCGCGUCGCAUUGGCUAGUUGGUAAGGUAACGGCUUACCAAGGCAACGAUGCGUAGCCGACCUGAGAGGGUGAUCGGCCACACUGGAACUGAGACACGGUCCAG
Molecule: ribosomal RNA, 241 nt
Filed under: uncultured Staphylococcus sp.
Lineage: Bacteria; Bacillati; Bacillota; Bacilli; Caryophanales; Staphylococcaceae
Description: partial 16S ribosomal RNA
Rfam family: Bacterial small subunit ribosomal RNA
Source: RNAcentral